GUGCUCGCUUUGACAGCACAUAAGAUACAGAGAAGAUUAGCAUGGCCCCUGUGAAAGGAUGACAUGUAAAUUCGUGAAGUGUUAUAAAAGAAA
This 93-nucleotide small nuclear RNA is filed under the name Carlito syrichta (Philippine tarsier). Lineage: Eukaryota; Metazoa; Chordata; Mammalia; Primates; Tarsiidae. The record is from RNAcentral.